This is a small nuclear RNA of Macaca fascicularis (crab-eating macaque), 107 nucleotides long. NCBI's taxonomy places the organism in Eukaryota, Metazoa, Chordata, Mammalia, Primates, Cercopithecidae. The record is from Ensembl.
GUACUCGCUUCAGCAACACAUAUACUAAAAUGGGAAUGAUACAGAGAAGAUGAGCAUGACCCCUGCACAAGGAUGACAUGCAAAUUCAUGAAACAUUCCAUAUUUUU